This 247-nucleotide ribosomal RNA is filed under the name uncultured bacterium. Its description in RNAcentral is "partial 16S ribosomal RNA". It matches the Rfam family "Bacterial small subunit ribosomal RNA", at positions 113 to 353 of the family's 1533-position model. The record is from RNAcentral.
ACACGUGGGUAACCUGCCUUAUAGUGGGGGAGUAGCCUUUCGAAAGGAAGAUUAAUACCGCAUAAGAUUGUAGUAUCGCAUGAUAUAGCAAUUAAAAGGAAGCAAUUCGCUAUAAGAUGGACCCGCGUCGCAUUAGCUAGUUGGUGAGGUAAUGGCUCACCAAGGCGACGAUGCGUAGCCGACCUGAGAGGGUGAUCGGCCACAUUGGGACUGAGACACGGCCCAGACUCCUACGGGAGGCAGCAUG